GACGAACGCUGGCGGCGUGCUUAACACAUGCAAGUCGAACGGUGAAGCGCCUUCCUUUUUGGUGGGUGUGGAUGAGUGGCGAACGGGUGAGUAACACGUGAGUAACCUGCCCCCUUCUUCUGGAUAACCGCAUGAAAGUGUGGCUAAUACGGGAUAUUCUGGGUCUGUCGCAUGAUGGGUCUGGGAAAGAUAUUGUUUCGGUGGGGGAUGGGCUCGCGGCCUAUCAGCUUGUUGGCGGGGUGAUGGCCUACCAAGGCGGUGACGGGUAGCCGGCCUGAGAGGGUGGACGGUCACACUGGGACUGAGACACGGCCCAGACUCCUACGGGAGGCAGCAGUGGGGAAUAUUGCACAAUGGGCGCAAGCCUGAUGCAGCGACGCCGCGUGAGGGAUGGAGGCCUUCGGGUUGUGAACCUCUUUCGCCAGUGAAGCAGGCCUGCCUCGUUUGUGGGUGGGUUGACGGUAGCUGGAUAAGAAGCGCCGGCUAACUACGUG
This 494-nucleotide ribosomal RNA is filed under the name uncultured bacterium. RNAcentral's name for it is "partial 16S ribosomal RNA". It matches the Rfam family "Bacterial small subunit ribosomal RNA", at positions 28 to 507 of the family's 1533-position model. The record is from RNAcentral.